RNAcentral lists this transfer RNA (90 nucleotides) under Candidatus Altimarinota bacterium. Its description in RNAcentral is "tRNA-Ser". It matches the Rfam family "tRNA". From Rfam's summary of the family: Transfer RNA (tRNA) molecules are approximately 80 nucleotides in length. Their secondary structure includes four short double-helical elements and three loops (D, anti-codon, and T loops). The record is from RNAcentral. Lineage: Bacteria; Candidatus Altimarinota.
GGAGGGAUGGCAGAGCGGUCGAAUGCGGCGGUCUUGAAAACCGUUAGACUGGCGACGGUCUCCUGGGUUCGAAUCCCAGUCCCUCCGCCA